This 479-nucleotide ribosomal RNA is filed under the name uncultured bacterium. Its description in RNAcentral is "SSU rRNA". It matches the Rfam family "Bacterial small subunit ribosomal RNA", at positions 26 to 523 of the family's 1533-position model. The record is from RNAcentral.
AGGACGAACGCUGGCGGCGUGCUUAACACAUGCAAGUCGAGCGGUGAUCCUCCUUCGGGAGGUGAUCAGCGGCGAACGGGUGAGUAACACGUGGGCAACCUGCCCCUCACACUGGGAUAACCUCGGGAAACCGGGGCUAAUACCGGAUACGACCUCGAGCGGCAUCUCUUGAGGUGGAAAGCUCCGACGGUGAGGGAUGGGCCCGCGGCCUAUCAGCUUGUUGGUGGGGUAAUGGCCUACCAAGGCGACGACGGGUAGCCGGCCUGAGAGGGCGACCGGCCACACUGGGACUGAGACACGGCCCAGACUCCUACGGGAGGCAGCAGUGGGGAAUAUUGCGCAAUGGGCGAAAGCCUGACGCAGCGACGCCGCGUGAGGGAUGAAGGCCUCGGUUGUAAACCUCUUUCAGCAGGGACGAAGCGAAGUGACGGUACCUGCAGAAGAAGCACCGGCUAACUACGUGCCAGCAGCCGCGGUAA